CAAUAAUGAGAAUACAGCUUUAAUAGAUUAAAUAGUUUGUUCGAGUUGUAUUUUGUCUCUCUUUCUGUCACCCUUGUACCCUGUUUCUAUGCAAUCAAAGGGGCACUCUGAGCAGCAAAACGACUUUAGCUAAAUGAAGCAGUUUUGGUGUACAGAUCAUGCUCCUGCAGUCCCACGGCUCAGUUCUCUGCGAUUUAGGAGUUAAAUCACUUUGUAUGUGCAGCCCUAGUUGCAAAUGCCCCGGUUUUGGCCUAUACAGUCUUCCUACACAUUUCCUGCAAAAGAGUCUUCAUAUUUUAGCUUCCCUUGUUCCACAGUGUGCACCAGUCUCCUGUGCGUUAUAAAGUUAAUUUAACAGAACGUGAGAUAAAAACUUCAAAAGUAAACACACUAUGCUGUAAAAUCUAACAGAAAAUGAAACUUUUUCAUGGAGGCUGUGAGACUUCAGGGGCAUGGUGUGUAUACUAACAGGGAUAUUCUGUAAAGUGAGAAUUCAAAGUGAAUUGAAAGUGAAUUCAAAUUUAAGGCACCCGUAGCAGAACUGAAAGCAUAGCUGACUUGGAGAAUUUUUCCAAUUUGGCUACUUUGACCUUAAAUUUUAAAUUCACUUUCAGUGAAUUUAAA
Non-coding RNA from Pelobates cultripes (western spadefoot toad), 624 nucleotides. The record is from the annotation of a GenBank genome assembly. NCBI's taxonomy places the organism in Eukaryota, Metazoa, Chordata, Amphibia, Anura, Pelobatidae.